UGAGCGGGAAACGGUCUCAGAGAAUAGGUGGCUGCGACUGUUUAUUAAAAACACAGCACUCUGCAAAGUCGAAAGACGACGUAUAGGGUGUGAUGCCUGCCCGGUGCUGGAAGAUUAAUUGAUGGGGUGAGAGCCCUUGAUCGAAGUCCCAGUAAACGGCGGCCGUAACUAUAACGGUCCUAAGGUAGCGAAAUUCCUUGUCGGGUAAGUUCCGACCUGCACGAAUGGCAUAACGAUGGCCACACUGUCUCCUCCCGAGACUCAGUGAAGUUGAAAUGUUUGUGAUGAUGCAAUCUACCCGCGGCUAGACGGAAAGACCCCAUGAACCUUUACUGCAGCUUUGCAUUGAACUGUGAACCGAUUUGUGUAGGAUAGGUGGGAGGCAGAGAAGAGGCCACGCCAGUGGCCUUGGAGCCGACCUUGAAAUACCACCCUGAUUUGUUUGCGGUUCUAACCACGGACAGUGAUCCUGUCUUGGGACCGUGCAUGGUAGGCAGUUUGACUGGGGCGGUCUCCUCCUAAAGGGUAACGGAGGAGUACGAAGGUACGCUAGGUACGGUCGGAAAUCGUGCUGAUAGUGCAAUGGCAAAAGCGUGCUUGACUGCGAGAGCAACAACUCGAGCAGAUGCGAAAGCAGGUCAUAGUGAUCCGGUGGCUCUGAAUGGAAGGGCCAUCGCUCAACGGAUAAAAGGUACUCUGGGGAUAACAGGCUGAUACCGCCCAAGAGUUCAUAUCGACGGCGGUGUUUGGCACCUCGAUGUCGGCUCAUCUCAUCCUGGGGCUGUAGUCGGUCCCAAGGGUAUGGCUGUUCGCCAUUUAAAGAGGUACGUGAGCUGGGUUUAAAACGUCGUGAGACAGUUUGGUCCCUAUCUGCCGUGGGCGUUGGAAGAUUGACGGGGGCUGCUCCUAGUACGAGAGGACCGGAGUGGACGCACCUCUGGUGUACCGGUUGUCACGCCAGUGGCAUUGCCGGGUAGCUAAGUGCGGAAGAGAUAACCGCUGAAAGCAUCUAAGCGGGAAACUUGCCUGAAGAUGAGUCUUCCCGGAGGUUGAACCUCCCUCAAGAGUCGUCCGAGACCAGGACGUCGAUAGGUCAGGUGUGUAAGCGCUGUAAGGCGUUGAGCUAACUGAUACUAAUUGCUCGUGAGGCUUGAUCCUAUAACC
RNAcentral lists this ribosomal RNA (1164 nucleotides) under Burkholderiales bacterium. RNAcentral describes it as "partial 23S ribosomal RNA". It matches the Rfam family "Bacterial large subunit ribosomal RNA", at positions 1763 to 2925 of the family's 2925-position model. Lineage: Bacteria; Pseudomonadati; Pseudomonadota; Betaproteobacteria; Burkholderiales. The record is from RNAcentral.